UGCAGAGAACUUUCCAGAGAUGGAUUGGUGGCCUUUCGGGAACGUCUGACACAGGUGCUGCAUGGCUGUCGUCAGCUCGUGUCGUGAGAUGUUGGGUUUAAGUCCGUAACGAGCGCAACCCUUGUCCUUAGUUACCAGCACGUUAUGGUGGGCACUCUAAGGAGACUGCCGGUGACAAACCGGAGGAAGGUGGGGAUGACGUCAAAUCAUCAUGGCCCUUACGGCCUGGGCUACACACGUGCUACAAUGGUCGGUACAAAGGGUUGCCAAGCCGCGAGGUGGAGCUAAUCCCAUAAAACCGAUCGUAGUCCGGAUCGCAGUCUGCAACUUGACUGCGUGAAGUCGGAAUCGCUAGUAAUCGUGAAUCAGAAUGUCACGGUGAAUACGUUCCCGGGCCUU
Molecule: ribosomal RNA, 399 nt
Filed under: uncultured Pseudomonas sp.
Lineage: Bacteria; Pseudomonadati; Pseudomonadota; Gammaproteobacteria; Pseudomonadales; Pseudomonadaceae
Description: bacterial SSU rRNA
Rfam family: Bacterial small subunit ribosomal RNA
Source: RNAcentral